GGGGAUGUAGCUCAGUGGUAGAGCGCACGCUUCGCAUGUGUGAGGCGCCGGGUUCGGUACUCGGCAUCUCCA
Non-coding RNA from Carcharodon carcharias (great white shark), 72 nucleotides. NCBI's taxonomy places the organism in Eukaryota, Metazoa, Chordata, Chondrichthyes, Lamniformes, Lamnidae. The record is from the annotation of a RefSeq genome assembly.